This 1082-nucleotide ribosomal RNA is filed under the name uncultured Vibrio sp. Its description in RNAcentral is "bacterial SSU rRNA". It matches the Rfam family "Bacterial small subunit ribosomal RNA", at positions 42 to 1114 of the family's 1533-position model. The record is from RNAcentral. Lineage: Bacteria; Pseudomonadati; Pseudomonadota; Gammaproteobacteria; Vibrionales; Vibrionaceae.
GCGGGCCUACACAUGCAAGUCGAGCGGUAACAGGAAGUAGCUUGCUACUUCGCUGACGAGCGGCGGACGGGUGAGUAAUGCAUAGGAAGUUGCCCUGAUGUGGGGGAUAACCAUUGGAAACGAUGGCUAAUACCGCAUAAUCUUUUCGGAGCAAAGCGGGGGACCUUCGGGCCUCGCGCGUUAGGAUACGCCUAUGUGGGAUUAGCUAGUUGGUGAGGUAAUGGCUCACCAAGGCGACGAUCCCUAGCUGGUCUGAGAGGAUGAUCAGCCACACUGGGACUGAGACACGGCCCAGACUCCUACGGGAGGCAGCAGUGGGGAAUAUUGCACAAUGGGCGAAAGCCUGAUGCAGCCAUGCCGCGUGUAUGAAGAAGGCCUUCGGGUUGUAAAGCACUUUCAGUUGUGAGGAAGGUUGUGUAGUUAAUAGCUGCAUAAUUUGACGUUAGCAACAGAAGAAGCACCGGCUAACUCCGUGCCAGCAGCCGCGGUAAUACGGAGGGUGCGAGCGUUAAUCGGAAUUACUGGGCGUAAAGCGCAUGCAGGUGGUUUGUUAAGUCAGAUGUGAAAGCCCAGGGCUCAACCUCGGAAGGUCAUUUGAAACUGGCAAACUAGAGUACUGUAGAGGGGGGUAGAAUUUCAGGUGUAGCGGUGAAAUGCGUAGAGAUCUGAAGGAAUACCAGUGGCGAAGGCGGCCCCCUGGACAGAUACUGACACUCAGAUGCGAAAGCGUGGGGAGCAAACAGGAUUAGAUACCCUGGUAGUCCACGCCGUANACGAUGUCUACUUGGAGGUUGUGGCCUUGAGCCGUGGCUUUCGGAGCUAACGCGUUAAGUAGACCGCCUGGGGAGUACGGUCGCAAGAUUAAAACUCAAAUGAGUUGACGGGGGCCCGCACAAGCGGUGGAGCAUGUGGUUUAAUUCGAUGCAACGCGAAGAACCUUACCUACUCUUGACAUCCAGAGAACUUUCCAGAGAUGGAUUUGGUGCUUCGGGAACUCUGAGACAGGUGCUGCAUGGCUGUCGUCAGCUCGUGUUGUGAAAUGGUGGGUUAAGUCCCGCCACGAGCGCAACCCUUAUCCUUGU